AAGGAAAGAAUCAUGGCCGUAGUAGUCAUCACCACGGAAAUGGCAGCAAGUCAAAAUCCAAAACUCCCACUCCAGUAGCACCAGCACCUCCAUUACCUAAACCAAAAGAUGAUAGCUCAUCAGCCCCACCAAAGAAAGGUCACAAUUAUGUUCCUGCUGCUACUUAUAAUGUCUUAGAUUUUGCCGCCAAAGGGGAUGGAAAAACCGAUGAUACAAAGGUAAUUUUUCUAUUAUAUUCACCAACAGACAUCACAUUUCAUAACAAUUCUCCAUGUAACUCCGCACACAAAGUAAAAUUUGUUCCAAGUUCAUGCUAUAAGUGCAGUCUUAAGCUUUCAUGUCCUUAUCCAGAAUGUUGUAGAUAGGACCACGUAAACAAAAACAUGCAUAUAGAAUGUAGCACUCCAGGUGAACAAGCGUGACUCCUUAGGUACUUGCCACUAACUUCUUCUUCUUCAAAUGUUCAAAGAAUUGACAAGCAUCACUUAAAAAGAAUUUCAAAAUUUUAAUGUAUUUUUAGUUCAUCAGAAUUAUAGGAUGCCUUAGGAAUUUAAAGGAGUGUUACAUUCAAAUUAUAUUGUAGAAAUUUUGUUACUGUGGUAGGUAACUAUCAGAUGUUCCUUCUACGAAAGGGAAAAAAAAAUCAAAUCUUAGGUGUAUAAAGCUAGACUAUGCCAAAAAUCAUACAAAGAAAAAGACAAUAGAACUUACAGAGUAAUUAACAACAAAAUCAGGAAGGGACCACUCAAGUGACUCUAAUUACAGCAGUUUGGUCCAGAUUCCAACAGUAAUUGUAUACAGUUAGGUACAAACUACAACAGUAUGACAAAAAAUUAAUUCAUCUUUUAAAGUUGGAGAAGAGAAAUAGUAGACAAAAACAAAGUUAAUUUACUGACUCAGAAAAAAUGUCUCUGUCUCAUGUGCAAAACAGGCAUUUCAAGCUGCAUGGGCAGCUGCUUGUAAGAUGGAGGCAUCCACCAUCAUCGUCCCAUCAGAAUAUGAGUUCCUUGUGGGACCCAUCUCGUUUUCUGGUCCUUACUGUCAACACAACAUCGUUUUUCAGGUAAAUUUUGAUAUUUAUUUGUGAAAAAAAAUAUUUCCACAAGUGUAUUACCCAAUCAAGUAACAAAUCAAUUACACCAUUAAUUUCCACUUUCCCUUUCCAUCCAAAACCAGCUUCUUUAAUGGUCCCAGCUUCAAUCAUCAUUUGGUCAUCACAAAUUCAUAAUCUUUUUGCAGCUUGAUGGUACAAUUAUUGCUCCAACGAACUUCAAAGCUUUUGGUUCAGGUCUCUAUCAGUGGCUUUUAUUUACAAAACUGGUAGGAAUCACAGUUCAGGGGAAAGGCAUCAUUGAUGGAAGAGGCUCAAUUUGGUGGCAAGACUCCACACUAGAUGAUCCUUUAGAUGACGAAUUAAAGCUAAUUAUUCCAUUAAACAACACAGUGGAAGAAAAUCUACCAAUUCCAGUUAUUAUUUCUCCUUCCUCUCAUAAAUUUGUUAACCCAGUUUCUGAUUGUGAAGAGUCUUCUUAUCGUUUUAUCCAAUACUUGUGUGGCAGGUAAGCAGCUCACUUGGUGGAAAGAUGCCAAGCAUCAAGCCAACUGUAAGGACUAAGGACCACUUGAAAGCAACAAAAGUUUAUAAUGCAAUUCUUAACCAUGCAAACCUUGCAACCUAACAACUGAUUUUGCUACACAGGCACUGAGGUUUUAUGGGAGUUUUAAUGUGACAGUCAUGGGCAUAACAAUUCAGAACAGUCCCCAAUGCCACCUCAAGUUUGAUAAUUGCGUGGGAGUUUCUGUGUACAAUAUGACUGUUUCAUCUCCGGGUGACAGCCCUAAUACAGAUGGAAUUCACUUACAGAACUCCAAGGAUGUGCUGAUCCAUACUACCAACCUUUCUUGCGGUAAUACAUAGUUUUUGGAUAAGAAAUUUUGUCAUGUCAUUCACUUAUUGUCACUGGUCCUCUUAAAACUAGGACUUGUUGAGUCAGAUGUCAAGGCUAUGGGUUAAAAGUUCAAACAGAACAAUAUCCCUGAAAAUUUUCUCUCUUACUAAACUAGUAAGUACAAAACCAAUUAUACUGCUUGUCCCUUUUACCAAAUUCUUUAGGUCCACUCACUAACUUUUUGACAAAUCACAACCAUUCAUCUCUUACAUACAACUUUAAUCACUACAAGCUUAUGUCCCUGAUUUACAGAGACAUGUUAUGGCUUGAAUGGUCCUGAUUCCUGAAAGAACAAAUUGAUAUAGGAUUAGGUUUGAACCCCACGUACUAAGAGUUCUUUUCUUAAAUAUUCUUUCAACUUCUAAAUCGUCUUCUCUGGAAAAUAGAAUAAUUGUCUUCCUCCCCCUUUCUACUUAUUUUGUUUUAUCACAUCUUAAGAGGUAAAGCCAGCUGUAGAAAUAAAUAAAGAGCCAUUCGGUACAAUAAAGUAAUGUGUCUCAGUCUAAAGACUACAAUUAGUAUGUUCUCAAAUUGUAAUGCUUUUUGCAGGAGAUGACUGCAUUUCAAUACAAACUGGAUGCUCAAAUGUAUAUGUACACAAUGUCAACUGUGGACCAGGACAUGGAAUCAGCAUUGGAGGGCUAGGAAAAGACAACACAAAGGCCUGUGUCUCAAACAUCACUAUUCGAGACAUCAUUAUGCAUAACACGAUGAAUGGUGUUAGGAUAAAGACCUGGCAGGUAUGAAUACCAUUUGCAGUUUUUCGGUUUGAAAUUUGAUAACUUAAAUUAUGUCCGUCGUCCGAGUCAAUUGGACAAUCAGAUCUUUCAUUAUUUCAUAAGUAAAAAAUAUAGUAUCAAAUAUUAUAAGCAUUAACCUACUUUAAAAUCUCAAGUACAAUUUUGCUAGGAUCUCAAAAAUUGAAAAUAUAAUCCUUAAAUUUUCUAACUGACUAAAUGCGAUGUAAUAAUGAAACUGUUGAGCUCAAACCCACCUAUUCAUGGACAGCCAACAUUCCUAAUGCAUGACUCCAACAUUCUUACAUAGUUCCAACUUCCAAAUGCUACUUUGUGCAGGGUGGUUCAGGGUCUGUGCAAGGAGUAUUAUUCUCAAACAUUCAGGUAUCUGAAGUCCAGUUUCCAAUCAUAAUUGACCAAUUCUAUUGCGACAAAAGCCAAUGCAAGAACCAAACAACUGCUGUGGCUCUAUCAGGAAUCACCUAUGAAAAGAUAAGAGGAACAUACACAGUAAGACCUGUGCACUUUGCAUGUAGCGACAGCCUGCCAUGCACGGAUGUUACCUUAAAUGCCAUCGAAUUAAAACCACUGCAAGAACGUUACCACAUGUAUGAUCCAUUCUGCUGGCAUACAUUUGGAGAAUUGUACUCUGAAACUGUUCCUCCAAUAGAUUGCAUAGAGAUUGGCAAGCCACAUAACAACCGGAUUCAGGUUGAUCAUGAUGUAUGCUAAGUCUAGCAUAGAUAUAUUUUGAUGUAUAUACUUGUGUGGUCGGUGUGAUUUCCUGACCCCUUUCACACCAUUAGCUAGAGAGGUAAUAGUUGAUAAUAUUGGUACUGUUAAUUUGUAUGAUUUAUCUUUACUAAGACAUGGUGGGAACUGGGAAGUAUGUAUACAUACAGUUAUAGUAGCUUAGAGUUUCAUAGCAUGGGUGUAAGGCAGACUUGUCUGCUAAUAUAAAGGGUUCUAUUGUACUUGUAAGAAAAAGGGUUUUAUUGUCAGCUAUCUAAGAAAACUUAUUUUUAGGUAUGAAAUAAGUAAACUANNNNNNNNNNNNNNNNNNNNNNNNNNNNNNNNNNNNNNNNNNNNNNNNNNNNNNNNNNNNNNNNNNNNNNNNNNNNNNNNNNNNNNNNNNNNNNNNNNNNCAUUUAUUUACAAUCAUAUACUAUAGGUAAACAUAUUUAUUAAGUCAAUUGAGUACUAGCAUAAUCAAAUAUUCAUGAAUAUAACUGUCUAAGAUGAGAUGAGAUGGGAUGGGGGGGGGAACACAUGAACUAGGAAAUGAAUACCACCUAAAUUUACAAAAUUAAGAAAACCGAGAAGCGCAGGUCAGAUGGAUCAGUAACAAUAGAAGUAAGGAAGCUUUUGUAGAAUAACAAUAAUGUAGAAGACUGUACGCAGGAGAGGAGUGAGUCCUCUUCCUCUAUAAUGAAGUGAUAUGGGAGAAUAAAUCAAUUCAAGAAUUUAAAAUUUUCAAUGUACCAGGUUGCAUCCCACUUCAAUCCCCCAGCUACUUCCCCCUUCAAAUGAGAAAGAAGAGUAAGUGAUGUCACUAAUAACAGCAGCAUGUUUUACAAAUUAAGCCAAAUUGUAAUAGCCGAUAUGAAAUACCAGAAACUAAUAUUCCUUGGACUCACCGCCAUUUUGGACGUUUAAUCCCAUUGAUUUUUGCUGGACUAUCGCCAGGAGCGAUUUCAAAGUAGUAGUAGCGUAGUUGCGACUUGCGAGGAGGAGGGGACUUUCUGUACAACUUUCAAGUUUGAACCUAACCUAACUGGUAUGUUUCGGGAAGAACCUAACUGGACCGCAU
RNAcentral lists this long non-coding RNA (4496 nucleotides) under Panax ginseng (ginseng). RNAcentral's name for it is "long non-coding RNA (PGIN_LNC001998)". The record is from RNAcentral. Lineage: Eukaryota; Viridiplantae; Streptophyta; Magnoliopsida; Apiales; Araliaceae.